GACGAACGCUGGCGGCGCGCCUAACACAUGCAAGUCGAACGAGCGAGGGAGAGCUUGCUUUCUUGAGCGAGUGGCGAACGGGUGAGUAACGCGUGAGGAACCUGCCUCAAAGAGGGGGACAACAGUUGGAAACGACUGCUAAUACCGCAUAAGCCCACGACCCGGCAAUCGGGUUGAGGGAAAAGGAGUGAUCCGCUUUGAGAUGGCCUCGCGUCCGAUUAGCUAGUUGGUGAGGUAACGGCCCACCAAGGCGACGAUCGGUAGCCGACCUGAGAGGGUGAUCGGCCACAUUGGAACUGAGACACGGUCCAA
This 312-nucleotide ribosomal RNA is filed under the name uncultured bacterium. RNAcentral describes it as "bacterial SSU rRNA". It matches the Rfam family "Bacterial small subunit ribosomal RNA", at positions 28 to 334 of the family's 1533-position model. The record is from RNAcentral.